Molecule: ribosomal RNA, 521 nt
Filed under: uncultured Glomeraceae
Lineage: Eukaryota; Fungi; Glomeromycota; Glomeromycetes; Glomerales; Glomeraceae
Description: SSU rRNA
Rfam family: Eukaryotic small subunit ribosomal RNA
Source: RNAcentral
AGCAGCCGCGGUAAUUCCAGCUCCAAUAGCGUAUAUUAAAGUUGUUGCAGUUAAAAAGCUCGUAGUUGAAUUUCGGGAUCAAGUGAUCGGUCAUGCCUUGGUAUGCACUGGUUUCAUUGGUUCUCACCUUCUAAAGAACCAUGAUGUCAUUCAUUUGAUGUUAUGGGGAAUUAGGACUGUUACCUUGAAAAAAUUAGAGUGUUUAAAGCAGGCUUACGCUUGAAUACAUUAGCAUGGAAUAAUGAAAUAGGACAUCCGAUUCUAUUUUGUUGGUUUCUAGGAUCGAUGUAAUGAUUAAUAGGGAUAGUUGGGGGCAUUAGUAUUCAAUUGUCAGAGGUGAAAUUCUUGGAUUUAUUGAAGACUAACUACUGCGAAAGCAUUUGCCAAGGAUGUUUUCAUUAAUCAAGAACGAAAGUUAGGGGAUCGAAGACGAUCAGAUACCGUCGUAGUCUUAACCAUAAACUAUGCCGACUAGGGAUCGGAUGAUGUUAAUUUUAUAAUGACUCAUUCGGCACCUUACG